Molecule: long non-coding RNA, 30384 nt
Filed under: Prunus persica (peach)
Lineage: Eukaryota; Viridiplantae; Streptophyta; Magnoliopsida; Rosales; Rosaceae
Description: long non-coding RNA (PPER_LNC008337)
Source: RNAcentral
UAGAAGUAGAACUAUUUCCAUACAUCAGGACUCGCCUCUGUUUUCCUCCAUUGACGAGUUUGUAUUUUUGGUCUUUUUACUACAUUUUAAUUUGUGAAAAUUUCCUUUUGGUUGUUUUGCUGUUUUCUGAAGUUGUGGAUAUCUGAACUUUCCUCUGGUUUGCAGAUUUGGGUUUAUGGGAACAGCUUUGAGUCGUUUCUUGUUGCUGUGGUGGUCCCUGACAGAAAGGCAUUGGAGGAUUGGGCAGCAGAGCAUCAUUUGACCGAAGGUUUUAAAUCAUUAUGUCAAAACCUGAAGGCAAGAAAGUACAUUUUGGAUGAGCUCAAUAGUGUUGGUCAGAAGCAGCAAGUAUGUAGAAAAUUGUCUCAACUCCCUGUUUCUUACUUGAUGCUCUGUUAAUGUCUACUCAAUCUGACUUGGGUGACCUUCCUCCAGCUACGAGGUUUUGAGCUGUUAAAAGCAGUCCACUUGGAACCAAAUCCCUUUGACAUGGAGAGGGAUCUUAUAACUCCAACAUUCAAACUGAAGAGAACACACCUACUUAAAUAUUACAAGGUAUGCCUUCUGCUCUCUCUUUCUAUAUGUUGUCUUAAAUCUCCUCACUGUAACUGUGCGACUUCCUUUUCAAGCACCUGGUAGACCUUCAGUUUGCCACUCACUUAAUAUCCUUUCCCCACCCUUGCGGCUGUGACCUUGGAUUAUUUCUUAAAAGAAAUGAAUUUCUAUUGCUAAUGAUCAAGUGCUAUGCCAUAAACGGGUCUCCCUCAUUCGAUAUAUAAAUCUCUCUCUCUCUCUCUCUCUCUCUCUCUCUCUCUCUCAAAUAGUAAAAGCUGACUUCGUCAAGUGAAUGUUAGUUUAUAUUUUUUGGAAUAUCAUCUGCAGGACCGCAUUGAUAAACUGUACAGUGAAGCAAAGGAAGCAAGGGUAUGACAGCAAUGUCGAAAGCCGGAAGCUACUGGAGAAAACCUUUUUACCACAAUUUCCCAAAGAUGUGAUUGCUGAUAGUGGGCAGGUGCUACCCACAAGGACUCUGGAUUCGGAUCCCUGUGAGUCCGUCUUAAGUUAGUUUGUGUAUAAAUAAAGAUAAUAUGAAAAGUUCUGGUUUGAGAAACCAUAUAUAUUGGUCCCAAUGUCAGUUAUUUGUGCUUGCAAGUGCACCCACAGAAUUGCUAUAUUCAUUCACUCUUUCAGAAUGAAUGUCAGAUAUCAUAUUUGACAAGAAAUGUUUUGCUUCCCAAACCAUUUUUAUGGAAGUUAAAGACGAUAAAGAAUUAAUGGCUACUUUACUUCUGAUCUCAUUGCUAAAGAAUUAAUGGCUGUUUCAGAAUGAAUGUCAGAUACCAAUUGCUUGUAUCUACAUUGCUAUAACCCCAAAAUCAAUGAUUAACUGAUUCUCAAUGGAUCUUGGUCUAUGCAAUGUAAAAUAAUCUUUGUGGAUUUCUUAGUUGUCUUUAUCACCAACAAAUCCACCCAAAAAGGAAAAUAAAAAGUUGCCAACAGGGUCUCAGGUGUGCGCGCAAAAACUUGGCUCUCCUUGUAGCUUAGAUUAUUGUUUGUAUUAAAAAAGAUUAUUGCUUGUAUUAAAAAAGAUUAUCGCUUGUUUAAAGUAGAAUUAAAGGACAACACUGAAACACACCAACUACUAUGCGUAUGAGCUUUUGUCGUUUUGGAUUUUUCAACUGCCCAUAAUUGGACUGGAAAAGACGUUUGAAGUUCAACGGAAGAACACUGGCCCUUCCUCUUUCUUUGUUUCCUUCCCUUUCCUUGUCUUCCCUUCACCUUCAUCGACUUCGCAGUGUUCUCCCAAAGGAGGUUGAAGCUCGCAGCUAACUUCCUCGCAGCUUCCCUCGCUCAUAAGAUGCUUUCUUAUUAAAAGAAAAGAAACCCAGAGGCCAUGCCCUUCCCAGCUCUUUGAUCAGCCUGUUUACUUUUCCGGCACCCAAUCAAACGUCAGUCAUUCAAUGACAUACGACGUCUUCCUGAGUUUCAGAGGCGAGGACACGCGAUUCAACUUUACUGAUCAUCUGCACAGUAAUUUGACUCGGAAGGGAAUUAGGACCUUCAUAGAUGAUGGUCUUAAGAGAGGGGAAGAAAUAUCACCGGCCCUUCUCAGAGCGAUCGAAGAGUCGAAGAUUUCCAUCAUCGUGUUCUCCGAAAACUAUGCAUCUUCGAAGUGGUGCUUGGAUGAACUCGUCAAGAUCCUUGAGAGUAAAGAAACAAGGGAGCAAAUAGUUUGGCCUGUUUUUUACAAGGUGAAUCCGUCGGAUGUACGGCAUCAAAGGGGCAGUUUCGGUCAGGCACUUGCUGACUAUGAAUGCGAGUUCAAAGAUGACAUGGAGAAGGUGCAAAGAUGGAGGAGAAGUCUUACGAAAGCAGCCAAUCUGUCCGGAUGGUGUUUCAUGAACGGGUAUAUAUUUAUUUUCAACCACGCACCUUAGCUGCUUAUUAGACUUGUUUAUUUCUGAUCUUUUAAUGGAAAUUGAAACUGUUAGAAUAGGAUCAGAUUGGCUUUUAAUACAAAGGCAUUGUUUUUAAUGUCAAAUGCUUUUGAACCUCCAAGGUUUAAAGAUGUGGCUUUUGUGUGUCCUUUGAACCUGAUCCUUAUACAUACAAACUGAUCCUUGUAGAGGAAAAGUUGAAUUAAUCUAUUUGUUGCCGCAUUUUUAGAUGACUAAAUAUUUCGGAUUUUGGUAAUUUUUUAUAAUAAACGGUUCAUGUGAUCCUUGAAUGAUGUCCUCGGUUCAUGUUAUCCGAACCUGUGAUCCAUUUUUGUAAAUAGUCAAAAGGGGAUUCCUUUUAGAAGGGAGUUGUACACACACAUAUAUAUAUAUACUAGCCUCCCUGCACGCGCUUCUGCGCCUGCGAGAGGCUUUUUUUAAAAAAAUUUAAAUUUAUUUUAGAAUUAAAAAAGAUAAUGGAUAGUUGUAUUCCAUAAAAAUAGGAUCCAUUAUCUGAAUUUUCUUUUAAUUUUAAUUUUUUUAAUAUGAAAAAUUGUGAAUUUACCAUAUUAUCCUCAUUUAAUUAAUAAUUUUAAUUCUUAAUGUUUGCAUUAACCAAGGGCAUUUUCUGGUAUUUUAAAUGUUUCACCAUUCUUUGCCUUUUGCUUUAUAUAUAUAGAUAUAUAUAUAUAUACAGAGAGCUUCCAUUGAGGGAUCCCUCAAAUAAGCUUAUUUGAGGGACACCCCUUGUAGGCCCCACUCCGGAUUGUAUUUCACUAAUCCAAACCGUCUAUUUUGUAGAUACUCAUUCAAAGAUCAUCUCUACAAAAAAUCACUUGAAUCCGAUAUCAUUUGACCACUCAAUUAAGUUAUUGAAAUUUUAGCAUUUUCUUGAAGCACCGUGUUCAUUGAUUUUGUAAGACACAAUUGGAUGUCGAAACGGUUUCCGAUUUGUCUAAUUUUUUGUAAGGAUGAUCUAUAAAUGAAGACCUAAAAAAUAAAUGGUUUGGAUCAUUGGGAAAAAAAUUGUAGGAUACCCUAAAGGGCGUCCCUCAAAUAAAAUUAUUUGAGGGAUCCCUCAAUAGAAGGGGACUGUAUAUAUAUAUAUAUACAUAGGCUCUUUUUUAAUCAUAAAUGGUCCCUGAGGUUUACGAAAUUAUCAUCUUUCGUCCCUAACCUUUUUUUGCGACACUAAUGAUCUUUAAGGUUACUCUCCGCACAUCAAAAUGGUCCCUACUGUUAGUUUUGGUCAAAUUUUCUGUUAAAUUGUUAAUGUGGCACAUGUGUGUAGCCCACACAUCCAAUGGUAUAGAGCCACGUAGUUUUAAAUGUAAUAUAAUAUAUUUUUAAUAUUUUUAAAACUUAAAAUUCAUAAAUAAAAAAAAUUAAAAGCAACUUAAAUCUUUUUAUAUAUGUUUAAAUAUAUUUCAUGCUCUGUUUUGAGAGAGAGAGAGAGAGAGAGAGAAGUGGGUAUGCGAGGAGGGGUAGGGAAAGUUAACACAAGGAGAGAGAGAGAGAAAGCGAAGGGAGGAAGAGGAGGGAGAGAGAAAUGGAUUUGCAAGGGGGAAAGGGAAAGAGAACACAAGGAGAGGGAGAGGGAGAGAGAGAAAGAUAUUUUAAAAUAUAUUAAAAAGAUGUACCAUUGGAUGUGAGGGUUCCACAUAUGUGCCACGUCAUCAAUUUAGUAGAAAAUUUGACGGAAGCUAACAGCAGGGACUAUUUUGAUGGGUGGAGGCUAAUCUUAAGGAUCAUUAGUGUAAAAAAAAUACAUUAGGAACGGAAUUUGAUAAUUUCGCAAACCUCAGGGACCAUUUGUGAUAAAAAGCAUAUAUAUAUAAUAUGACAAAAUUUUAUUCAUCAUUAAUCUUUCGCAUAUUGUAUAACCUUGCAGGCAUGAAUCAAAAUUUAUUGACAAUAUCGUUGAAGCGAUUUCAUUACAAGUAUUAAACCAUGCGUAUUUGAAUGUAGCAAAGUACCCAGUUGGAAUAGAGUCUCGUGUGCGCGAGAUAGAUAAGCUUUUGGGCGUUGGAGGAAACGAUGUUCGCAUGGUAGGGAUAUGGGGCACUGGUGGAAUAGGUAAGACCACAAUUGCUAAAGCUGUUUAUAAUUCCGUCGCCCAUAUGUUUGAAGGUAGCUGUUUUCUAGAUGAUGUUCGAGAAAGAUCAAUGCCGUAUGGAGGCUUAGGCAAACUACAAAGUAUUCUUCUUUCUGAGAUUCUAGGGGUGAAAGAAGUAGAGGUGACCAAUGUUGACAAAGGAAUCAAUAUGAUAAAGAAGAUGUUGAAUGGUAAGAAGCUUCUCUUAGUUCUUGACGAUGUGAAUCAUUUGGACCAAUUAAACAAAUUAGUUGGAGGGUCUGAUUGGUUUGGUUCAGGCAGCAGAAUUGUUCUAACGACAAGAGACAAGCAUUUGCUAAUUGCUCAUCAAGUCAAUCUAAUAUAUGAGGUUGAGAAGUUAAAUCAUUAUGAGUCCUUAAAGCUCUUCACCAGUUGGAAUUCAUUUUCAAGAAAUGGACACUUAAAAGAUGAUUAUGCGAAACUUGCAAACAAUGUAGUAGACUAUGCUGACGGUCUUCCAUUAGCUCUGAUGGUUUUGGGUUCACAUCUAUGUGGUAGAAGUAUUGAUCAAUGGAAAUAUGCAUUAGAUGGUUACAGAAGAGUUCCUAACCGAGAGAUUCAAGAAAUUCUCAAAAUAAGUUAUAAUGCACUAGAAGACGCGGUGAAGGAAGUUUUCCUUGAUAUUGCAUUUUUCUAUAAAGGUCUAGGCGAGGAUUAUGUGAUACAAAUGCUAGAAGGUUGUGACAUGAACCCUAAGUAUGAUCUUGAAGUACUCGUGGAAAAGGCUCUUAUAAAUAUUAUGGAAGAUGGCUGCAUUUGGAUGCAUGACUUGAUACAAGAAAUGGGUAAAGAAGUAGUUCGCCAAGAGUCACCAACUGAGCCCGGAAAACGUAGUAGGUUGUGGUUUCACGAGGAUGUUUACCAUGUUUUAACAGAAAACACAGUAAGUAGAAUAUAUAAUUUAAAACAUUUUAUUUUUAUUUCACAAAAAACUGGUCCUUUGCUAAUAGUAUUGCUUUAUCAUACUAGGGAACGGAUAAGAUCAAAGGUAUUAUGGUGAAGUUGCCUGCUGGGCUUGAGUCAGAUGAGGUAUGUUUGAAUGCUGAAAGCUUCUCAAAGAUGAAAAAUCUUCGACUUUUUAUAAAUCAUAAUGCGCGCUUGUCUGGAGAAGUUGAUUGUCUUCCCAAUGAGUUGAGGCUCCUUAUCUGGCCUGAAUAUCCGUCACAAUCUUUGCCAGCCAAUUUUAAUCCAAAGAAACUUGUUGGUCUUGCUUUGCCUCGCAGCUGCAUUUUACGACUGGAUUUGGAAUUCAAGGUAUUCAUUUUUUUCUCUUUCUUCUUAGCAUGUUAUAAGUUUCUUUAAAGCUUAUGAUGCGAUCUUCUCUCUUUUUCUCCCUGUUUUGUGGAACAGAGUUUGAAAUUUAUAAAUGUGGAGCACAGCAAAUUCCUAAGAAAAACCCCUGACUUCUCUGGAGUCCCAAACUUGGAGAAGUUGAAUCUAAACUUUUGUACAAGUUUAGUUGAGCUUCAUCCUUCUGCUGGAUUCCUUCAUAAGCUUGUUAACUUGAGUCUUACGGGAUGCCGUAGUCUUACUCUGUUUCCAAGAAUUGUCAACUUGAAAUCUCUGCUGGAGUUGAAUCUUGACGGUUGCAUAAGUCUUGAGAAUUUUCCUGAAAUUAAGGGGAAGAUGGAAUAUUUGAAACACCUGGAUCUAUCAGAGACUUCCAUCAAAGAAUUGCCUUCAUCGUCAAUUCGACAUUUCACUCGUCUCGAGAAUCUGUAUUUAACCAGAUGUGAAAACCUUACAAAUCUGCCAUGCAGCAUUUAUGAGUUGAAGCACCUAAAGACAAUUUCUGUCCUUAAAUGCUCAAAAUUGUUUUCAUUUCCUAAAAUGGCGAAGUCUGAAGAUUCAAGGAGUGCAGAAUCACUUGUGACUCUUCAAGGAGGCAAUUUAGCGUUUCCCAACCUAUCUAAAUUCUAUGGAUCCAAUCUUUCAGACAUUGCCGAUUUCCUUCUGACUCUUGAUUGCAUGACCACAUUAACUAGACUUGAUCUAUCAGGAAGCAAUUUUGUUAGUCUUCCCGUAUGCAUUAAUAACUUUGUCAACUUGAUUGAUCUUCGGUUGGUUAGUUGCAAGAGACUUAGAGAAAUUCCAGAUCUUCCACAAGCAUUGCAACUUUUGGAUGUGAGUGAUUGCUUAUCAUUGGAAAGAGUUUCAAAAUUGUCCAACCUUUUGGAACGUAAAGAGUCUCAAAUGUUCUUGGGAAUGAGAUUGGCUAACUGUUGGAGACUGCGUAACAAUCUAGUUCGAAUUGCAAAGAAGAAAAAUAUGUUCAUAAAUCAAGUCAAUCUCUUCUCUCUCUUUCUCUCAUCUCUCCCAACUUUUGUCCAGGUUGAAUUUCCAGGAAGGGGAAUUCCAAAGUGGUUCAGUUAUCGUAAGGAUUUGAAGGAUCUUUGCGAAUGUCAAUUCUCUAUUAAAAUCCCUCAAAAUUUCAAUUGGGAGAACAAAGGAAUUUCUUUUUGUGCUUUUCUCGAAAAGACCAAAAAUAGGUUAAAUUUUUAUGCUCAACUCAGCAUCAGGGACUUUGCUGUUGAUAUGUAUGUGAAGGAAGUAUGCCCUGAUAAUAUUCAAUCAACAGGGAAAGACCUGAGUUUAGUGUGGCUGUCAUAUGUCCCUUUCCAUGAUAUGAUGUCGACAAUGGCACGCACGGAAAGAAAUGUGAAAAGAACAAGGGUGAUGCCGCCUUAUUUGCCUACAAUCCGAGUUCAUUUUGUGCGUAUUAGCAAAGCUGUGAAAAGCUGCGGAGUCCACCUAGUAAUGCCACCAGGAUGAAGACCUCAGUAUAGAGGCAUGGGUAUGUCCAGGAAGAUACCAAUCGAUCAAUCCUCCAAAGGGAAAGGACAGUAGCAUUCAAAUGUGAUUGGGAUGAUAAGGAUUUGCAUCCUUCUUACAAGCUGUCAAUCUCAAGCCCGUGGGUAGAAUUCAGUGAUCUAUAUUUGUGAUUGUUGUGUUAAUUCCACAUGAUUAGUUUCUUAAGACUUCAAUUGAGUUUUGAGUGGUGGAUGUUGGAAUGGUUGAGUCUUGCUGUAUGCAAGAUAAGAUAAGAGGAGAGGAGACUGGUUUGCACCCUUUUGUUUCAGAGUAGAUGAUGUCCACUUGGAUAUACCGUAUAAAGUUAUACUUCCAGAGCACUAUUGUUUACAGCUUAGCAAUUGUGCCACAUGGAACUCCGAGUUUGUGAUCCCUUAGUGUUCUGGUGCUGCUAUUCCUGGUGGCUUACAUGGUCUUGCUUUUCUCUUCGUGCAGCUGCUCCAAUGGUUUCCUGGCUGUCUUUACUUUUUGCUGUUUGGUUUUGUAAAUGAUUUGUUACUGGUGUGGUGAUUCUACUGUCCUUCCUUCAGUUUGGGGUUGCUAGUAUUGCAGUCCCUAUGGGUUGGUCUCCCCUUGGUGCGCCACUGUUUUUGGCUAGUUGCUCUUCACAGUUCCUGUCUUUCGACCUGCUUUUAUGGUUAGUGCUGCCUUGCUGUAUUAUUAAAGUGUGUUGCUGGCCGUAGACUUUGUUCUUCCUGCAGCUGCGUUGUGUCUUUUUACAGCAGAACAGAUUGCUGUUUGGCUCAGCCUUAUUUUCUCCUUGGUGUUGCUGCAUUAGUUCUCCUAUUUGUUGUUGGUUAGGGCUUUGCAUGUUGCCUCAUGUUGGGGAGAGAAAGAAGGAAAUUAAUGAAGCUGUUGUUCCAGAAGAAAUUGAAAGCUCGUCCUUCAUUCGAUGUAGAUACUAAUGGACUUAAAGAAAGGCGGUGCAGUCAUCAACCCCAACAAUGCUGUCCAAGUUCAAGAGUUGUUUUCGCAACUACUGCUGUUGGUAUUACUUGCUGUUGUUGCAUGUGUUGUGCGUUAUAUGCGUUACGGGGUUAAUAAUUUACUUUAAUUUGAGUGUCACAUUUUUGUUGUGAAGGCAUGUAGACUGAAAACUAGAAUGUUUGUUUGGAUCCUGAGUAAAUGGACAAAAACUUUCCCGGAAAAUUUGGCAUAUUUAUAUUGGAUAUGAUGUAGAAACAAAUUGCAUUUUGUCUUGUUUUAAAUUUUCUCACUUUGAUGCUCGGGAGAAAAAGAGAAGGUAGAACCAAAAGGAGGUAAUUGUGUUUAAGCUUGAGCUUGACAGUUUGUUCUGGGAUAAAAAUUAACCAAAAAAGAAGAGAAUGGCCCAUGCAGGUCUCGAACCUGCGACCUUCGCGUUAUUAGCACGACGCUCUAACCAGCUGAGCUAAUAGGCCAUUUGACAAAUUCCCCGUACUUUUUAAUACUAUACUAAAAUAGGAUCGAAAAGAAAGGUUUUCCUGGUUGUGGUCAGCCAAAAGAAAGGUUAGAGAAGCUGAAGCAGAAAACAAAGAAAAAGACGCUUGUUUUUCUACCAAUCCACGCUCUGCAACUCGUCGAAUAGCUCAAACCCUGUUCUUAGUUUUCUAAAAAGCUUAAAAUCACUGGAAAAUUGCAAUCAAUUCAAAACAUAUUGUAAUUCAAAUUCCAAGCGUGAGUUCAUGGCUGAAACUCUGCUUCUACUGGCAGCGACUCUGCGAAAAGUUAUCCGAACAAUCCAAUGCUUGGUCGGCGUCAAGUCACGGAAACAAAGGUACCUUCUUUUUGAGCAACAGCACAAACCCAUUGAAACCCAUAAGCUCUUUUUUUUUUCUUUCCAAAUAAGUUUAUGAAAUGCCAAUUUUGAAUUUGUUUAAUGGAAAUUGCAGGUGGGUCCCUAUGUAUGGCUUACAUAUCAAGAGGUUCAUGAUGCCGCCCUUCGAAUGGGUUCAGCCAUCAGGAGCCGCGGUGUCAAUCCUGUAAGUCACGUGCCUAUUGAGAAUAUAUGUGUGUGUAUGAAUGCAUAAAUUAAUGUGUUACUGUAAUUUGUAUUAAAUUUUGACGUGCAAUCUGUUAUGUUCUGGAUGAAGAAAUGAAAAAGAUUCAUAAUUGUAAUGUGAUGUUCUUUAGAGUUGAUGUAAGUUGGUAAUGAAAAGGAGUAACUGCGAAAGGUUGGUGUUUAUCAUAGCAAAAGGGAAAAAAAAGAAAGAAAAAAAGAAAGAAACUAACUUUGGUGUUUCAUAUUUUUGUAUCUUUUAAAUGUAUACAGGGAGAUCGUUGUGGUAUAUUCGGAUCAAACUGCCCCCAGUGGCUUACUGCAAUGGAGGUAAAUACUGUGUUUCCUAUUUUCAUGAAUCACGAUUGGCUUCAUAUUUAUGCAUGCCGUGCUUACUUGAAUGGAAAAGUUUGUUUAUGUUGGGAGCAAAUUUUUGACAGGUUGAAUAACUAUAAUGAAUCUAUGUUUUGUUGAUUUUUUACAGGCCUGUAAUAGCCAUACCAUAACGUAUGUUCCGCUGUAUGACACCCUUGGUAUGAUUUCUUUCUCUUUGUCAAUGAUCGUCAGUACUUAUAUCACCAUGAGUUUUAGAGUUUCUAUACAUUUUCUUCCUCAAUAGAAUUUCCAGUAGCAAUUGGACUUCAAUGAUGGUGGUUGAGUUCGAUUCAAUGUAUCUCAUUAACUUUUUGUGGUUUUACAUAUAAUGGUGGUUGAGCUUGCUAAACUCUUUGACGUGUAGGCUUCACUGAAAGCUGUGGUGGAUGUCUUACAUCUAUUGGCAAUGUUUUUCCUAUGAUGGGAACUGUGGGUGUUCCCAUGACAACUAUUGAAACAAGGCUUGAGUCAGUGCCAGAAAUGGGAUAUGAUGCACUUUCCAGUGUGCCAGGUGGAGAGAUUUGCCUGAGAGGAAAAUCCUUGUUUUCUGGUUACCACAAGCGACAAGAUCUGACAGAGGAAGUCCUUGUUGAUGGGGUGGUUUCAUACUGGUAAAAAUUCUUACAAUAGUCAGCCAUAAAGUUGUAUGGAAUACUUUACUUGCUUGAUGCUCAAACUUUUGGCUUUUCAAGAUGUCACCACCGUGCAUGUUAGAAUGUUUUGUUGAUGGUUAAUUGUUGCAUUAAAAGGUGGUAUUUCUUGACUUUGAGUGGAUUGCCGGUGACAUUGGAGAAUUGCAGCCUAUUGGAGCAACGGAAAUCAUAGAUAGGACAAAGAAUAUAUUUAAACUGUCUCAAGGUGAUUAUGUUGCUGUGGAAAACAUUGAAAGCAAAUACCUGCGAUGCCCUCUUAUCACAUCGGUACAUUGCUACUUACUUACUACAUCCAAUACAAGUAGAACAAUUUCCAUACAUUAGGACUCACCUCUGUUUUCCUCCAUUGAUGAGUUUGUAUUUUUUGUCUUUGUACUACAUUUUAAUUUGUGAAAAUUUUGUAUUGUUUGUUCUCUCUUUUUUUAUUUAUUUUUCUUUUCUAAAGUUCUGGAUGUCUUACUUUCCUCUGGUUGGCAGAUUUGGGUUUAUGGGAACAGCUUUGAGUCGUUUCUUGUUGCUGUGGUGGUCCCUGACAGAAAGGCAUUGGAGGAUUGGGCAGCGGAGCAUAAUUUGACCGAUGAUUUCAAAUCAUUAUGUCAAAACCUGAAGGCAAGAAAGUACAUUUUGGAUGAGCUCAAUUAGUGUUGGUCAGAAGCAGCAAGUACGUAAAUAAUUGUCUCAACUCCCUGUUUAAUGCUUUGUUAAUGUCUACUUAAUGCUUUGUUAAGUUCACUUGGAACCAAAUCCCUUUGACAUGGAGAGGGAUCUCAUAACUCCAACAUUCAAACAGAAGAGACCACAGCUACUUAAACAUUACAAGGUAGGCCUCCUGCUCUCUCUUUCUAGUAUUUUCUUAUAGCUCCUCACUGUAACUCUGUGCUUUCCUUUUUCAAGCACCUGGUAAGUCUUCAGUUUGCCACUCACUAAAUACCCUGCCUCCACCUGAUCAAUAUCCCACGACCGAUGACACCUAAAAGUAUGUACUUUAUAAGGGUCAACAUAGUAACCAAACACAGCCCCAUACGGCUAUACCCUUGAAUUAUUUCUUAAAUAGCAAGAAUCUCUCUCUCUCUCUCUCUCUCUCUCUCUCUCUCUCUCUCUCUCUCUCUCUCUCUCUCUCUCUCUCUCUCUCUUAAAUAGUAAAAGCUGAAGUUUGUCAAGUGUGUUAAUUUUAUAUUUGUCGGAAUAUCAUCUGCAGGACCGCAUUGAUAAACUGUACAGUGAAGCAAAGGAAGCAAGGGCAUGACAGCAAUAUCAAAAGCCGGAAGCUACCGGAUAAGACCUUUUUACCACAAUUCCCCAAAGAUGUGAUUGCUGAUAGCAGGCAGGUGCUACCCACAAAGACACUGGAUUUGGAUCCCUGUGAGUCCGUCUAAGUUAGUUUGUGUAUAAAAUAAAGAUAAUAUGAAAGUUCUGGUUUGAAAAACCAUAUAUAUAUAUAUAUUGCCCCAAUUUCAGUUAUUUGUGCUUGCAAAUACACACAGAAAUGCUAUAUUCAUUCACUCUUUCAGUAUAAAUGUCAGAUACAUGACAAGAAAUGCUUGCUUACCAAACCAUGUGUAUGGAAGUUAAAGACGAUAAAGAAUUAAUGGCUACUUCUGAUCUCUCAAGUACCAAUUGCAUCUACAUUGCUAUAGCCCCAAAACCAAUGAUAACUGAUUCUCAAUAGAUCUUGGUUUAUGCAAUGUAAAAUAAUCAAUGACAACCAACAAUUAGGAGCCUAUUCCUCUUCUUCUUUCACCCGUUCAUGGACAUAUGAUGUCUUCCCAAGCUUUAGUGAUGAGGAUACCCGUCCAAUUUCGAAGACGAUUUCUAACACAUCACAGAAACACGAACAGAUGAACGUCUAGAUCCAAGAACAUAUUCCGGAAUACGAUUGAAAGAGAGAAAAUCCAUCAAUCUCAAAGACCAUUUGUGACGCAGUACAACAAUUUGGUUUAGAAUGAAAUUAAAGCAUAGAUAACGAGUUAAUAAAUUCCUUGAUCAAGCUCCUCUGUUAUUUCACUACAUGAUACUGUCUUUGUUUGGUCAAAAGCACUUACUCACUGUUCAUCAGAAAAGAAAAUUUAUUAUGUAGGAUGAACCUGUGUCGUUUUGGACAUUUCCACUACCCAGCAAGUCAACUUGUUCUUUUGUUUCUUUCUUCCCAUCAUUGUCUUCCCUUCUUUGACUUCGCAGUGUUCUCACUAAAGAGGUUGAAGCUCGCAGCAAAUUUCCUCGCUUCCCUCGCUCAAAAAACACACCAAACUAAUCAAUUAUUGCUCCCAUAAUUCGACUGAAAAGACGUUUGAAGUUCCAACGUAAGCACACUGUCCUUUCCCUUUUUUUCUUGGAUUCUUUAUUCCUUUCUUCGCAGUGUUCUUCUCACUAAGGAGGUUGAAGUUUCAGCAAACUUUCUCGCAGCUUCCCUCGCUCAUAAGAUGCUUUUCUUCCUAAAAGAAAAGAAAACCAGAGGCGAUGCCCUUCCCAGCUCUUUGAUCAGCCUGUUUACUUCUCCGGCACGCAUUCAAACGACAGUCAUUCAAUGACAUACGACGUCUUCCUGAGUUUCAGAGGCGAGGACACGCGAUUCAACUUUACUGAUCAUCUGUACAGUAAUUUGACUCGGAAGGGAAUUAGAACCUUCAUAGAUGAUGGUCUUAAGAGAGGGGAAGAAAUAUCACGGGCCCUUCUCAGAGCGAUCGAAGAGUCGAAGACUUCCAUCAUCGUGUUCUCCGAAAACUACGCAUCUUCGAAGUGGUGCUUGGAUGAACUCGUCAAGAUCCUUGAGAGUAAAGAAACAAGGGAGCAAAUGGUUUGGCCUGUUUUUUACAAGGUGAAUCCGUCGGAUGUACGGCAUCAAAGGGGCAGUUUUGGUCAGGCACUUGCUGACUAUGAAUGCGAAUUCAAAGAUGACAUGGAGAAGGUGCAAAGAUGGAGGAGAAGUCUUACGAAAGCAGCCAAUCUGUCCGGAUGGUGUUUCAUCAACGGGUAUAUAUUUAUUUUCAACCACGCACCUUAGCUGCUUACUAAACUUGUUUAUUUCUGAUCUUAUAAUAGAAAUUGAAACUGUUAGAAUAGGAUCAGAUUGGCUUUUAAUACAAAGGCAUUGUUUUUAAUGUCAAAUGCUUUUGAACAUCCAAGGUUUAAAGAUGUGGCUUUUGUGUGUCCUUUGAACCUGAUCCUUAUACACACAAAUUGUCUAGUUUUUCGAUCCCCAAAUUAAGAAUUAUCCCUUCAAAAAAUUAGCAAAAUCCGAAAUCGUACCAUUUGAUUAUCACCAUGAACAUCUUGUGGAGGAAAAGUUGAAUUAAUCUAUUUGUUGCCGCAUUUUUAGAUGACUAAAUAUUUUGGAUUUUGGCAUUUUUUUGAUGAACUGAUUUUGGUAAGUUUUUAUAAGAGUGAUCCUUGAAUAAUGUCCUUAAAAAUAAACGGUUCAUGUUAUCCGAACCUGUGAUCCAUUUUUGUAAAUAGUCAAAAGGGGAUUCCUUUUAGAAGGGAGUUGUGCACACAUGCACGCACGCGCACACACGCACGCACGCGCACACACACACACACACAUAUAUAUAGGCUUUUUUUAAAAUCAUAAAUGGUCCCUGAGGUUUACGAAAUUAUCACCUUUCGUCCCUAACGUUUUUUUGUGACACUAAUGGUCUUUAAGGUUACCCUCCACACAUCAAAAUGGUCCCUACCAUUAGCUUCCGUCAAAUUUUCUGUUAAAUUGUUAAUGUGGCACAUGUGUGGAGCCCACACAUCCAAUGGUAUAGAGCUACGUAGUUUUAAAUGUAAUAUAAUAUAUUUUCAAUAUUUUUAAAACUUAAAAUUCAUAAAUUAAAAAAAAUAAAAGCAACUUAAAUCUUUUUAUACAUUUUUAAAUAUAUUUCAUGCUCUGUUUUGAGAGAGAGAGAGAGAGGUGGGUAUGCCAGGAGGGGGAGGGAAAGUUAACACAGGGAGGGGGAGAGAGAAAGUGAAGGGAGGAAGAGGAGGGAGAGAGGAGUGGGUUUGCAAGGGGGAAAGGGAAAAAGAACACAAGGAGAGGGAGAGAGAGAAAGAUAUUUAAAAAUAUAUUAAAAAGAUGUACCAUUGGAUGUGUGGGUUCCACAUAUGUAUCACGUCAUCAAUUUAACAGAAAAUUUGACGGAAGCUAACGACAGGGACCAUUUUGAAGGGUGGAGGCUAACCUUAAGGACCAUUAGUGUAAAAAGAAUGUUAGGGACGAAAGACCAUUUAUGAUAAAAAGCGCACACACACACACAUAUAUAUAUAUAUAUAAUAUUAAAAAAUGUUAUUCAUCAUUAAUCUUUCGCAUAUUGUAUACCCUUGCAGGCAUGAAUCAAAAUUUAUUGACAACAUCGUUGAAGCGAUUUCAUUACAAGUAUUAAACCAUGCGUAUUUGAAUGUAGCAAAGUACCCAGUUGGAAUAGAGUCUCGUGUGCGCGAGAUAGAUAAGCUUUUGGGCGUUGGAGGAAACGAUGUUCGCAUGGUAGGGAUAUGGGGCACUGGUGGAAUAGGUAAGACCACAAUUGCUAAAGCUGUUUAUAAUUCCAUCGCCCAUAUGUUUGAAGGUAGCUGUUUUCUAGAUGAUGUUCGAGAAAGAUCAAUGCCGUAUGGAGGCUUAGGCAAACUACAAAGUAUUCUUCUUUCUGAGAUUCUAGGGGUGAAAGAAGUAGAGGUGACCAAUGUUGACAAAGGAAUCAAUAUGAUAAAGAAGAUGUUGAAUGGUAAGAAGCUUCUCUUAGUUCUUGACGAUGUGAAUCAUUUGGACCAAUUAAACAAAUUAGUUGGAGGGUCUGAUUGGUUUGGUUCAGGCAGCAGAAUUGUUCUAACGACAAGAGACAAGCAUUUGCUAAUUGCUCAUCAAGUCAAUCUAAUAUAUGAGGUUGAGAAGUUAAAUCAUUAUGAGUCCUUAAAGCUCUUCACCAGUUGGAAUUCAUUUUCAAGAAAUGGACACUUAAAAGAUGAUUAUGCGAAACUUGCAAACAAUGUAGUAGACUAUGCUGACGGUCUUCCAUUAGCUCUGAUGGUUUUGGGUUCACAUCUAUGUGGUAGAAGUAUUGAUCAAUGGAAAUAUGCAUUAGAUGGUUACAGAAGAGUUCCUAACCGAGAGAUUCAAGAAAUUCUCAAAAUAAGUUAUAAUGCACUAGAAGACGCGGUGAAGGAAGUUUUCCUUGAUAUUGCAUUUUUCUAUAAAGGUCUAGGCGAGGAUUAUGUGAUACAAAUGCUAGAAGGUUGUGACAUGAACCCUAAGUAUGAUCUUGAAGUACUCGUGGAAAAGGCUCUUAUAAAUAUUAUGGAAGAUGGCUGCAUUUGGAUGCAUGACUUGAUACAAGAAAUGGGUAAAGAAGUAGUUCGCCAAGAGUCACCAACUGAGCCCGGAAAACGUAGUAGGUUGUGGUUUCACGAGGAUGUUUACCAUGUUUUAACAGAAAACACAGUAAGUAGAAUAUAUAAUUUAAAACAUUUUAUUUUUAUUUCACAAAAAACUGGUCCUUUGCUAAUAGUAUUGCUUUAUCAUACUAGGGAACGGAUAAGAUCAAAGGUAUUAUGGUGAAGUUGCCUGCUGGGCUUGAGUCAGAUGAGGUAUGUUUGAAUGCUGAAAGCUUCUCAAAGAUGAAAAAUCUUCGACUUUUUAUAAAUCAUAAUGCGCGCUUGUCUGGAGAAGUUGAUUGUCUUCCCAAUGAGUUGAGGCUCCUUAUCUGGCCUGAAUAUCCGUCACAAUCUUUGCCAGCCAAUUUUAAUCCAAAGAAACUUGUUGGUCUUGCUUUGCCUCGCAGCUGCAUUUUACGACUGGAUUUGGAAUUCAAGGUAUUCAUUUUUUUCUCUUUCUUCUUAGCAUGUUAUAAGUUUCUUUAAAGCUUAUGAUGCGAUCUUCUCUCUUUUUCUCCCUGUUUUGUGGAACAGAGUUUGAAAUUUAUAAAUGUGGAGCACAGCAAAUUCCUAAGAAAAACCCCUGACUUCUCUGGAGUCCCAAACUUGGAGAAGUUGAAUCUAAACUUUUGUACAAGUUUAGUUGAGCUUCAUCCUUCUGCUGGAUUCCUUCAUAAGCUUGUUAACUUGAGUCUUACGGGAUGCCGUAGUCUUACUCUGUUUCCAAGAAUUGUCAACUUGAAAUCUCUGCUGGAGUUGAAUCUUGACGGUUGCAUAAGUCUUGAGAAUUUUCCUGAAAUUAAGGGGAAGAUGGAAUAUUUGAAACACCUGGAUCUAUCAGAGACUUCCAUCAAAGAAUUGCCUUCAUCGUCAAUUCGACAUUUCACUCGUCUCGAGAAUCUGUAUUUAACCAGAUGUGAAAACCUUACAAAUCUGCCAUGCAGCAUUUAUGAGUUGAAGCACCUAAAGACAAUUUCUGUCCUUAAAUGCUCAAAAUUGUUUUCAUUUCCUAAAAUGGCGAAGUCUGAAGAUUCAAGGAGUGCAGAAUCACUUGUGACUCUUCAAGGAGGCAAUUUAGCGUUUCCCAACCUAUCUAAAUUCUAUGGAUCCAAUCUUUCAGACAUUGCCGAUUUCCUUCUGACUCUUGAUUGCAUGACCACAUUAACUAGACUUGAUCUAUCAGGAAGCAAUUUUGUUAGUCUUCCCGUAUGCAUUAAUAACUUUGUCAACUUGAUUGAUCUUCGGUUGGUUAGUUGCAAGAGACUUAGAGAAAUUCCAGAUCUUCCACAAGCAUUGCAACUUUUGGAUGUGAGUGAUUGCUUAUCAUUGGAAAGAGUUUCAAAAUUGUCCAACCUUUUGGAACGUAAAGAGUCUCAAAUGUUCUUGGGAAUGAGAUUGGCUAACUGUUGGAGACUGCGUAACAAUCUAGUUCGAAUUGCAAAGAAGAAAAAUAUGUUCAUAAAUCAAGUCAAUCUCUUCUCUCUCUUUCUCUCAUCUCUCCCAACUUUUGUCCAGGUUGAAUUUCCAGGAAGGGGAAUUCCAAAGUGGUUCAGUUAUCGUAAGGAUUUGAAGGAUCUUUGCGAAUGUCAAUUCUCUAUUAAAAUCCCUCAAAAUUUCAAUUGGGAGAACAAAGGAAUUUCUUUUUGUGCUUUUCUCGAAAAGACCAAAAAUAGGUUAAAUUUUUAUGCUCAACUCAGCAUCAGGGACUUUGCUGUUGAUAUGUAUGUGAAGGAAGUAUGCCCUGAUAAUAUUCAAUCAACAGGGAAAGACCUGAGUUUAGUGUGGCUGUCAUAUGUCCCUUUCCAUGAUAUGAUGUCGACAAUGGCACGCACGGAAAGAAAUGUGAAAAGAACAAGGGUGAUGCCGCCUUAUUUGCCUACAAUCCGAGUUCAUUUUGUGCGUAUUAGCAAAGCUGUGAAAAGCUGCGGAGUCCACCUAGUAAUGCCACCAGGAUGAAGACCUCAGUAUAGAGGCAUGGGUAUGUCCAGGAAGAUACCAAUCGAUCAAUCCUCCAAAGGGAAAGGACAGUAGCAUUCAAAUGUGAUUGGGAUGAUAAGGAUUUGCAUCCUUCUUACAAGCUGUCAAUCUCAAGCCCGUGGGUAGAAUUCAGUGAUCUAUAUUUGUGAUUGUUGUGUUAAUUCCACAUGAUUAGUUUCUUAAGACUUCAAUUGAGUUUUGAGUGGUGGAUGUUGGAAUGGUUGAGUCUUGCUGUAUGCAAGAUAAGAUAAGAGGAGAGGAGACUGGUUUGCACCCUUUUGUUUCAGAGUAGAUGAUGUCCACUUGGAUAUACCGUAUAAAGUUAUACUUCCAGAGCACUAUUGUUUACAGCUUAGCAAUUGUGCCACAUGGAACUCCGAGUUUGUGAUCCCUUAGUGUUCUGGUGCUGCUAUUCCUGGUGGCUUACAUGGUCUUGCUUUUCUCUUCGUGCAGCUGCUCCAAUGGUUUCCUGGCUGUCUUUACUUUUUGCUGUUUGGUUUUGUAAAUGAUUUGUUACUGGUGUGGUGAUUCUACUGUCCUUCCUUCAGUUUGGGGUUGCUAGUAUUGCAGUCCCUAUGGGUUGGUCUCCCCUUGGUGCGCCACUGUUUUUGGCUAGUUGCUCUUCACAGUUCCUGUCUUUCGACCUGCUUUUAUGGUUAGUGCUGCCUUGCUGUAUUAUUAAAGUGUGUUGCUGGCCGUAGACUUUGUUCUUCCUGCAGCUGCGUUGUGUCUUUUUACAGCAGAACAGAUUGCUGUUUGGCUCAGCCUUAUUUUCUCCUUGGUGUUGCUGCAUUAGUUCUCCUAUUUGUUGUUGGUUAGGGCUUUGCAUGUUGCCUCAUGUUGGGGAGAGAAAGAAGGAAAUUAAUGAAGCUGUUGUUCCAGAAGAAAUUGAAAGCUCGUCCUUCAUUCGAUGUAGAUACUAAUGGACUUAAAGAAAGGCGGUGCAGUCAUCAACCCCAACAAUGCUGUCCAAGUUCAAGAGUUGUUUUCGCAACUACUGCUGUUGGUAUUACUUGCUGUUGUUGCAUGUGUUGUGCGUUAUAUGCGUUACGGGGUUAAUAAUUUACUUUAAUUUGAGUGUCACAUUUUUGUUGUGAAGGCAUGUAGACUGAAAACUAGAAUGUUUGUUUGGAUCCUGAGUAAAUGGACAAAAACUUUCCCGGAAAAUUUGGCAUAUUUAUAUUGGAUAUGAUGUAGAAACAAAUUGCAUUUUGUCUUGUUUUAAAUUUUCUCACUUUGAUGCUCGGGAGAAAAAGAGAAGGUAGAACCAAAAGGAGGUAAUUGUGUUUAAGCUUGAGCUUGACAGUUUGUUCUGGGAUAAAAAUUAACCAAAAAAGAAGAGAAUGGCCCAUGCAGGUCUCGAACCUGCGACCUUCGCGUUAUUAGCACGACGCUCUAACCAGCUGAGCUAAUAGGCCAUUUGACAAAUUCCCCGUACUUUUUAAUACUAUACUAAAAUAGGAUCGAAAAGAAAGGUUUUCCUGGUUGUGGUCAGCCAAAAGAAAGGUUAGAGAAGCUGAAGCAGAAAACAAAGAAAAAGACGCUUGUUUUUCUACCAAUCCACGCUCUGCAACUCGUCGAAUAGCUAAAACCCUGUUCUUAGUUUUCUAAAAAGCUUAAAAUCACUGGAAAAUUGCAAUCAAUUCAAAACAUAUUGUAAUUCAAAUUCCAAGCGUGAGUUCAUGGCUGAAACUCUGCUUCUACUGGCAGCGACUCUGCGAAAAGUUAUCCGAACAAUCCAAUGCUUGGUCGGCGUCAAGUCACGGAAACAAAGGUACCUUCUUUUUGAGCAACAGCACAAACCCAUUGAAACCCAUAAGCUCUUUUUUUUUUCUUUCCAAAUAAGUUUAUGAAAUGCCAAUUUUGAAUUUGUUUAAUGGAAAUUGCAGGUGGGUCCCUAUGUAUGGCUUACAUAUCAAGAGGUUCAUGAUGCCGCCCUUCGAAUGGGUUCAGCCAUCAGGAGCCGCGGUGUCAAUCCUGUAAGUCACGUGCCUAUUGAGAAUAUAUGUGUGUGUAUGAAUGCAUAAAUUAAUGUGUUACUGUAAUUUGUAUUAAAUUUUGACGUGCAAUCUGUUAUGUUCUGGAUGAAGAAAUGAAAAAGAUUCAUAAUUGUAAUGUGAUGUUCUUUAGAGUUGAUGUAAGUUGGUAAUGAAAAGGAGUAACUGCGAAAGGUUGGUGUUUAUCAUAGCAAAAGGGAAAAAAAAGAAAGAAAAAAAGAAAGAAACUAACUUUGGUGUUUCAUAUUUUUGUAUCUUUUAAAUGUAUACAGGGAGAUCGUUGUGGUAUAUUCGGAUCAAACUGCCCCCAGUGGCUUACUGCAAUGGAGGUAAAUACUGUGUUUCCUAUUUUCAUGAAUCACGAUUGGCUUCAUAUUUAUGCAUGCCGUGCUUACUUGAAUGGAAAAGUUUGUUUAUGUUGGGAGCAAAUUUUUGACAGGUUGAAUAACUAUAAUGAAUCUAUGUUUUGUUGAUUUUUUACAGGCCUGUAAUAGCCAUACCAUAACGUAUGUUCCGCUGUAUGACACCCUUGGUAUGAUUUCUUUCUCUUUGUCAAUGAUCGUCAGUACUUAUAUCACCAUGAGUUUUAGAGUUUCUAUACAUUUUCUUCCUCAAUAGAAUUUCCAGUAGCAAUUGGACUUCAAUGAUGGUGGUUGAGUUCGAUUCAAUGUAUCUCAUUAACUUUUUGUGGUUUUACAUAUAAUGGUGGUUGAGCUUGCUAAACUCUUUGACGUGUAGGCUUCACUGAAAGCUGUGGUGGAUGUCUUACAUCUAUUGGCAAUGUUUUUCCUAUGAUGGGAACUGUGGGUGUUCCCAUGACAACUAUUGAAACAAGGCUUGAGUCAGUGCCAGAAAUGGGAUAUGAUGCACUUUCCAGUGUGCCAGGUGGAGAGAUUUGCCUGAGAGGAAAAUCCUUGUUUUCUGGUUACCACAAGCGACAAGAUCUGACAGAGGAAGUCCUUGUUGAUGGGGUGGUUUCAUACUGGUAAAAAUUCUUACAAUAGUCAGCCAUAAAGUUGUAUGGAAUACUUUACUUGCUUGAUGCUCAAACUUUUGGCUUUUCAAGAUGUCACCACCGUGCAUGUUAGAAUGUUUUGUUGAUGGUUAAUUGUUGCAUUAAAAGGUGGUAUUUCUUGACUUUGAGUGGAUUGCAGGUGACAUUGGAGAAUUGCAGCCUAUUGGAGCAACGGAAAUCAUAGAUAGGACAAAGAAUAUAUUUAAACUGUCUCAAGGUGAUUAUGUUGCUGUGGAAAACAUUGAAAGCAAAUACCUGCGAUGCCCUCUUAUCACAUCGGUACGUUGCUACUUACUUACUACAUCCAAUACAAGUAGAACAAUUUCCAUACAUUAGGACUCACCUCUGUUUUCCUCCAUUGAUGAGUUUGUAUUUUUUGUCUUUGUACUACAUUUUAAUUUGUGAAAAUUUUGUAUUGUUUGUUCUCUCUUUUUUUAUUUAUUUUUCUUUUCUAAAGUUCUGGAUGUCUUAACUUUCCUCUGGUUGGCAGAUUUGGGUUUAUGGGAACAGCUUUGAGUCGUUUCUUAUUGCUGUGGUGGUCCCUGACAGAAAGGCGUUGGAGGAUUGGGCAGCAGAGCAUAAUUUGACCGAUGAUUUCAAAUCAUUAUGUCAAAACCUGAAGGCAAGAAAGUACAUUUUGGAUGAGCUCAAUGGUGUUGGUCAGAAGCAGCAAGUAUGUAGAUAAUUGUCUCAACUCCCUGUUUGAUGCUUUGUUAAUGUCUACUCAAUCUGACUUGGGUGACCUUCCUCCAGCUUCGAGGUUUUGAGCUGUUAAAAGCAGUUCAUUUGGAACCAAAUCCCUUGACAUGGAGAGGGAUCUCAUAACUCCAACAUUCAAACUGAAGAGACCACAGCUACUUAAAUAUUACAAGGUAGGCCUCCUGCUCUCUCUUUCUAGUAUUUUCUUAAAUCUCCUCACUGUAAAUCUGUGCCUUCCUUUUUCAAGCACCUGGUAAGUCUUCAGUUUGCCACUCACUAAAUACCCUGCCUCCACCCUGAUCAAUAUCCCACGACCAAUGACACCUAAAAGUAUGUACUUUUUAAGAGCCAACCUAGUAACCAAACACAGCCCCAUACGGCUAUACCCUUGAAUUAUUUCUUAAAUAGCAAGAAUUUCUAUUUCUAUCUCUCUCUCUCUCUCUCUCUCUCUCUCUCUCUCUCUCUCUCUCUCUCUCUUAAAUAGUAAAAGCUGAAGUUUGUCAAGUAUGUUAAUUUUAUAUUUGUUGGAAUAUCAUCUGCAGGGCCGCAUUGAUAAACUGUACAGUGAAGCCAAGGAAGCAAGGGUAUGACAGCAAUGUCAAAAGCCGGAAGCUACUGGAUAAGACCUUUUUACCACAAUUCCCCAAAGAUGUGAUUGCUGAGAGAAGGCAGGUGCUAUCCACAAAGACACUGGAUUUGGAUCCCUGUGAGUCCGUCUAAGUUAGUUUGUGUAUAAAUAAAGAUAAUAUGAAAGUUCUGGUUUGAGAAAUAUAUUGCCCCAAUGUCAGUUAUUUGUGCUUGCAAAUACACACAGAAAUGCUAUAUUCAUUCACUCUUUCAGUAUAAAUGUCAGAUACAUGACAAGAAAUGCUUGCUUACCAAACCAUGUGUAUGGAAGUUAAAGACGAUAAAGAAUUAAUGGCUACUUUACUUCUGAUCUCUCAAGUACCAAUUGCAUCUACAUUGCUAUAGCCCCAAAACCAAUGAUAACUGAUUCUCAAUAGAUCUUGGUUUAUGCAAUGUAAAAUAAUCAAUGACAACCAACAAUUAGGAGCCUAUUCCUCUUUUUCUUUCACCCGUUCAUGGACAUAUGAUGUCUUCCUAAGCUUUAGAGAUGAGGAUACCCGUCCAAUUUCGAAGACGAUUUCUAACACAUCACAGAAACACGAACAGAUAAACGUCUAGGUCCAAGAACAUAUUCCGGAAUACAAUUGAAAGAGAAAAUCCAUCAAUCUCAAAGACCAUUUGUGACGCAGUACAACAAUUUGGUUUAGAAUGAAAUUAAAGCAUAGAUAACGAGUUAAUAAAUAAAUUCCUUGGUCAAGCUCCUCUGUUAUUUCACUACAUGAUCCUGUCUUUGUUUGGUCGAAAGGAUUUACUCACAGUUCAUCAGAAAAGAAAAAUUAUUAUAUAGGAUGAACCUGUGUCGUUUUGGACAUUUCCACUACCCAGCUAGUAAACUAUUGCUCCAAUAAUUGAACUGGAAAAGAUGUUUGAAGUUUCAACGGAAUCACACUGGCCUUUCCUUUUUCUUUGUUUCUUUAUUCCCAUCAUUGUCUUCCCUUCUUUAACUUCGCAGUGUUCUCACUAAAGAGGUUUUUUUUAAAAUUUUUUAAUUUUUUUUUUAUCAAAUAGAAACUUCAUUAGAUAAACUUCAACGGAACAAUUAAAGAUAUCAACAAAACAUUUAAAAUACCAAUCCUAAGAGGGCAACAAACUAACUUGCUAAAAGCAAAACUAACGCGGACAAAAACCGCACUAAAACUAUUAGCCCACAUUGCCACAAUUAGUCAUAAGCCCAAACAAAGCCAACAAAGCCAACAUAACCAAAACCCUAAAUCAACCCAUGAGCCUAAACAAACCCUACCACCACCACCUGAAGAAGAGCCGUUGCGGUCACACCCAUCACCGCAUCUGUAACAGAUUUGGGAAAAAUAUGAUUUUCAGUUAUCUGAGCGAACAAAUAAAUAAAAACAAUAACUUUGGCAAAGAACAAUUGAGUGAUUUGCAGCAACCUCCGUCAAAGAUGAUGUAAAAUCAAAUUUAAAGAACAUGAGUGACAUUAGGGAGCUGGUUUUGGGAGUAGGAUUUGAUUGAGAACAUAGACUAAGGAAUGAUGGGAACUUCAAUUUUAACCAUAACUUAGAAAAACCACCUCCCCCUCUGUGGAAUUUUCCUUUAUUCCUCGCAGCUACCCUCGCUCAUAAAAACACACCAAACUAAUCAAUUAUUGCUCCAAUAAUUCGACUGAAAAGACGUUUGAAGUUCCAACGUAAGCACACUGUCCUUUCCUUUUUUCCUUGCAUUCUUUCUUCCUUUCUUCGCAGUGUUCUUCUCACUAAGGAGGUUGAAGUUUCAGCAAACUUUCUCGCAGCUUCCCUCGCUCAUAAGAUGCUUUUCUUAUUAAAAUAAAAGAAACCAAGAGGCCAUUACCUUCCCAGCUCUUUGAUCAGCCUGUUUCGUUCUCAUGUAUGCAAUCAAAUAACCUGCAUUCAAUGACGUACGAUGUGUUUCUGAGUUUCAGAGGCGAGGACACGCGGUUCAACUUUACUGAUCAUCUGCACAGCAAUUUGACUCGGAAGGGAAUUAGAACCUUCAUAGAUGAUGGUCUUAAGAGAGGGGAAGAAAUAUCACCGGCGCUUCUCAGAGCAAUCAAAGAGUCGAAGAGUUCUGUCAUCAUAUUCUCCGAAAACUAUGCGUCUUCAAAAUGGUGUUUGGAUGAACUCGUCAAGAUUCUUGAAAGUAAAGAAUCAAGAGAACAAAUAGUUUGGCCUAUUUUUUACAAGGUGAAUCCGUCGGAUGUACGGAAUCAAAAGGGAAGUUUCGGUCAGGCAUUUGCUGACUAUGAAUGUGAGUUCAAAGAUGACAUGGAGAAGGUGCAAAGAUGGAGGAGAGCUCUUACGAAAGCGGCCAAUCUGUCCGGGUGGUGUUUCUCCAACGGGUAUAUAUUUUCAACCACACACCAUAGCUGCUUGCUGAACUUGUUUAUUCUUUAUCUUUUAAUAGAAAUUGCAACUGUUAGUGUGUAUACUAGAUGCUUAGGAUUGGAUUUGAUUGGAUAAUUCAAAAUCGGGCGUUGGGCCUCAAGAGGAAAACCAUAUUUAGUACCACUAUUUAUUGAGAAAAGGGGUGAGACUUUACAAUAUUUUGACGUGGGACUCCGUACGUAUGAGGUAGCCACACGUGUUCAUGAAUUGUCGAAUCCUUGGAUUAGGGCAAAAAUGUCCUUUUUUGGGCCAUAUAUCCACGCUGGCAUGGUCGCCGGCUGUUUCACUGAACACGGUGCCGAGAGAUGCUGGACUCCUUUGUCCCGUAAUGUAGGGCUAUGGCAUCAACAAAACUUAUCCCUUUCAAAAGGGAUAAAUUCCCUUUAUGACAAAUGGAUCUUCUGUUAUCAACUUGGACAAAAUUUAGAAGUUGACCUUCAUUUCUUACUUCAAUGUUGAAAUAAGCUCUUCAUCUCUUAAAGUAGCUCUCCCCUCCCCUCCUCUCCCCAGCUCCACCGCGCUAGGGUAGGUGGGGGAGGUGGCGGAUGGCUUGGAAGAGUGGGGAAUAGGGGAAGCAGUUGAUGCGUUGAGGGAGGAAGCGCUAAGUAAGUUAAUACGACUGACCACUUGUUUGUACCCACUCUGUUAUGUCAUCUCAUAUAUGCAUACCGUCCAAUUUUUUAGGUUAUCAUUCAAUGAUCACUCUUGAAAAAACAAAUUAGUGAAAUUAGACAACACUUAGUAAUCCAUCUUUAAUCAGACAAAUAGACGAACACAAUAUUUCCUAUAAACAAUGAAAAUGUUAGUAAUAAUAAUUAAAUGGUUAAACAAUUUUCGAUUUGUCUACUUUUUGUUCUUUUCUUUUUUUUGAUAGAGAUGUUCCUUGAAUUACAACCUGAAAAAUAAAUAUUUUGGAUCAUUAUAUGACAUUGUGGAGUGUGUCAAAUGAGUGUUUAGCACCUUAUUAACUUACUUACUGAUUAGUGAUUGAGCACUCAUAUAUAUAUUUAUCUUACAAAAUGCUAUUUCGUCAUUAACUUUCACAUUUGUUAACCUUGCAGGCAUGAAGCAAAAUUUAUCCACAACAUUGUUGAAGAGAUUUCAAUACAAGUAUUAAACCAUAAUUAUUUGAAUGUAGCGAAAUACCCAGUUGGAAUAGAGUCUCGUGUACACGAGAUAAGUAAGCUUUUGGGUGUUGGGGGAAACGAUGUUCGCAUGGUAGGGAUAUGGGGAACUGGUGGAAUAGGUAAGACAACAAUUGCUAAAGCUGUUUAUAAUUCCACUGCCCAUAUGUUUGAAGGUAGCUGUUUUCUAGAAGAUGUUAGAGAAAGAUCAAUGCCAUAUGGAGGCUUAGUCGAACUACAAAAUAUUAUUCUUUCUGAGAUUCUAGGGGUAAAAGAAGUAAAGGUGACCAAUGUUGACAAAGGAGUCAAUGUGAUAAAGAAAAUGUUGAAUGGUAGGAAGCUUCUCUUAGUUCUUGAUGAUGUGAAUCAAUUGGACCAAUUAAACAAAUUAGUUGGAAGAUCUGAUUGGUUUGGUACAGGCAGCAGAAUUGUACUAACGACAAGAGAUAAGCAUUUGCUAAUUGCACAUCAAGUCAAUCUAAUGUAUGAGGUUGAGAAGUUAGACCAUUAUGAAUCUUUGAAGCUUUUCACCAGCUGGAAUUCAUUUUCAAGAAAUGGACACUUAGAUGGUGAUUAUGUGAAACUUGCAAACCAGGUAGUAGACUAUGCUCAAGGUCUUCCAUUAGCUCUUAUGGUUUUAGGUUCACAUCUAUGUGGUAGAAGUAUUGAUCAAUGGAAAUGUGCAUUAGAUGGUUACAGAAGAGUGCCUAACCAGGAGAUUCAAGACAUUCUCAAAAUAAGUUAUAGUGCACUAGACGAUGCGGUGAAGGAAGUUUUCCUUGACAUUGCAUGUUUCUUUAAAGGUGUAGGCAAGGACUAUGUGAUUGAAAUACUAGAAGGUUGUGACCUAAACCCUAAGUAUGAUCUUGAAGUACUCGUGGAAAAGGCUCUUAUAAAUAUUACGGAAGAAGGCAGGAUUUGGAUGCAUGACUUGAUAGAAGAAAUGGGUAAAGAAGUAGUUCGCCAAGAGUCGCCAACUGAGCCUGGAAAGCGUAGUAGGUUGUGGUUUCACGAGGAUGUUGACCAUGUUUUAACUGAAAAUACAGUAAGUAGAAUAUAAUUUGAAACACUUGUAUAAUUAUUUCACAAAAAAUUAUCCUUUUCUAAUACUAUUGCUUUUUCAUACUAGGGAACAGAUAAGAUCAAAGGUAUCAUGGUGAAGUUGCCUGCUGGCCUUGAGUCAGAUGAGAUAUGCUUGAAUGCUAAAAGCUUCUCAAAGAUGAAAAAUCUUCGAAUUCUUUUAAAUCGUAAUGCACGCUUAUCUGGAGAAGUUGAUUAUCUUCCCAAUGAGUUGCGGCUCCUCAGGUGGCCUGAAUAUCCAUUACAAUCUUUGCCAGCAAAUUUUAAUCCAAAGAAACUUGUUGGUCUUACUAUGCCUCGUAGCCGCAUUUUACAACUGGAUUUGGAAUUGAAGGUAUUUAAAAUUACAGCUUUUUUCAAGAGUUUAUUUUUAUUUUUCAGCAUAUUGGGAGUUUAUUAAGAGCUUAUGAUGCGAUCCUCUCUCUCUUUUUCUCUCUGUUUUGUGGGGCAGAGUUUGAAAUUUAUAAAUGUGGAGAACAGCAAAUUCCUGACAAAAACGCCUAACUUCUCUGGAGUCCCAAAUUUAGAGAAGUUGAAUCUAAACUAUUGUACAAGUUUAGUUGAGCUUCAUCCUUCUGUUGGAUUCCUUCAUAAGCUUGUUAAGUUGAGUCUUACCGGAUGCCGUAGUCUUACUCUGUUUCCAAGAAUUGUCAACUUGAAAUCUCUGCUGAAGUUGAAUCUUGAAGGCUGCAUAAGUCUUGAGAAUUUCCCUGAAAUUAUGGGAAAGAUGGAAUCUUUGACAUACCUGGAUCUAUCGAAGACUUCCAUCAAAGAAUUGCCUUCAUCAUCAAUUCGACAUUUUACUAGUCUCAAGACGUUGUAUCUAACCGGAUGUGAAAAGCUUACAAAUCUUCCAUGCAGCAUUUAUGAAUUGCAGCAUCUAGUGGAAAUUUCUUUGAGUAAAUGCUCAAAAUUGGUUACAUUUCCUAAAAUGGUGAAGUCUGAAGAUUCAAGGACUGCAGAAUCACUUGUGACUCUUCACAGAGGCAAUUUAGUGUUUCCCAAGCUAUCUAAAUUCAAUGUGGGGGGAUCUAAUCUUUCAGAAAUUACCAAUUUUCUUUUGACUCUUGAUUGCUUGGCCACAUUAACAAGACUUGAUCUAUCAGGGAGCAAUUUCAUUAGUCUUCCCGCAUGCAUUAUUAACUUUGUCAACUUGCAUGAACUUCGGUUGGUUGGUUGCAAGAGACUUAGAGAAAUUCCGGAUCUUCCACAAGAAAUGGAAGUUUUAGAUGUGAGUGAUUGUGUAUCAUUGGAAAGAGUUUCAAAUUUGUCCAACAUUUUGGAACGUAAAGAGUCUCAAAUGAUCUCUGAAAUGAACUUGACUAAAUGUUGGAGACUGCGUAACAAUCUGGUUCGCUUUGCAAAGAAGAAAAAUAUGUUCAUAAAUCAGGUCAAUCUCUUCUCUCUCUUUCUCUCGUCUCAGCAAUCUUAUGUCGAGGUUGUAUUUCCAGGAAGUGGAAUUCCAAAGUGGUUCAGUUGUUGUCAGGAUUUGAAGGAUCUUCGCGAAUGUGCAUUCUCCAUUAAAAUCCCUCAAAACUUCAAAUUUGAGAACAAAGGAUUGGCUGUCUGUGCUUUUCUUCAAAAAACCAAAAAUAGGUUCCAUUUUGAUACUAAGCCCAAACUUAACAUCAGGGAUUUUUCUGUUGAUAUUUACUUAGAUGAACGACGCACUGAUAAUACACAUUCUACAGGGAAAGAGUCAACUGUAGUAUGGCUGUGGUAUAUUCCAUUCUUUGUAAUAUUGUCGGUCAGGGAAUCCUUGUGGGAGUACGAAUGCAUGAAAGGAAGAGCGAAAAGCUCAUGGGUGAUGCCACCUUAUUUGCCUACACUUCGAGUUCAUUUUGUACGCAUUAGCAAAGCUGUGAAAAGCUGCGGAGUCCACCUAGUAAUGCCACCAGGAUGAAGACGUCAGUAUGGAGGCAUGGGUGCGUCCUUGAAGAUACCAGCAUACCAACUGAUCAAUCCUCCAAAGCGUAAGACCAGUAGCCUUGAAAUGUGAUUGGGAUGCUAAGGAUUUGCAUCCUUCUUACAAGAUGACAUUCUCAAGCCUGCGGGUAGAAUUCAAUGAUUAUUAUUUGUUAUUGUUUUUGUGUUAAUUCAACAUGAGGAUUUUGGUUUCCUUUCAAUCAAGUUUUGAAUGGUGGACAUUGUAGAAUGUAUUGUUGGAAUGGUGCAGUUUUGCUCUUAUUAAAGAUGAGAUAAGAGGGAGAAGACUGGUCUGCACCUUAUUGUUUCAGAGUAGAUGGUGCCCGCUAGGGAAUAAAGUUAUACCUCCCGAGAAAUAUUCUUUAAAGCUUCAAGCCUUAACCUGUUACUCUCCCAGCAAUUGUGGCAUGGAAAUCUCUCCCUGAGUCUGUGAUCACUUAGAGUUCUGGUGCCUGCUAUUCCUGAUGGCUAGCAUGGUCUUACUUUCCCUUUCAUGCCACUGCUCUGCUGGUUUCCUGGAUGUCUUUUCUUUCCUGCUGCUUGGUUUGUGGAUGAUUUGUUACUGUUGCCUUCGGUUCGGGGUUGCUAUUAUUGCAGUCCCUAUUGGUUGCUCUCUCCUUGCUGCGCCACUGUUUUUGGCUGGUUGCUUUUCACAGUUCCUCGCUUUUGACCUGCUUUGCUGGUUAGUGCUGCCUUGCUGCUUUGUUAAGGUGUGUUGCUGGCUGUAGACUUUGCUCUUCCUGCGGCUGCAUUUUGUUCUUGAUAGCAGAACAGGUUGCUGUUUGGCUCUGCCUUGUUUUCUCCUUGGUGUUGCUGCAUUAGUUCUCCGGUCAUUGUUGGUUAGUGCUUUGCGUGCUGCCUAAUGUUGGGGAGAAGAUUUUCUAGUCAGUAGUUUAUAAACUUUUCCUUAAAAAAAGAACUUUCCAUCAGCUUCUUAAGCUCUUUGACAUGUAGGCCUCACUGAAAGCUGUGGUGGAUGUCUUACGUCUAUUGGCAAUGUUUUUCCUAUGAUGGGAACUGGGGGUGUCCCCAUGACAACUAUUGAAACAAGGCUUGAGUCAGUGCCAGAAAUGGGAUACGAUGCACUUUCCAGAGUGCCACGUGGAGAGAUUUGCCUGAGAGGAAAAUCCUUGUUUUCUGGUUACCACAAGCGACAAGAUCUGACAGAGGAAGUCCUUAUUGAUGGGUGGUUUCAUACUGGUAAAAAUUCUUACAAUAGUUAGCCGUACAGUUGAAUGAAAUAAUUUACUUACAAUAGUUAGCCAUACAGAGGAAGUCCUUAUUUUGGCUUGUCAAGAUGUCACCACUGUGCAUGUUAGAAUGUUUCGUUGAUGGUUAAUUGUUGCAUUAAAAGAUGGUAUUUCUUGACUUUGAGUGGAUUGCAGGUGACAUUGGAGAAUUGCAGCCUAAUGGAGCAAUGACAAUUAUAGAUAGGAAAAAGAAUAUAUUUAAACUGUCUCAAGGUGAAUAUGUUGCUGUGGAAAACAUUGAAAGCAAAUACCUGCAAUGCCCUCUUAUCACAUCGGUACGUUGCUUGUUACUACAUCCAAUACAAGUAGAACUAUUUCCAUACAUUAGGACUCGCCUCUGUUUUCCUCCAUUGACGAGUUUGUAUUUUUGGUUUAAUUUGUGAAAAUUUCCUUUUGGUUGUUUUCCUGUUUUCUAAAGUUGUGGAUAUCUGAACUUUCCUCUGGUUUGCAGAUUUGGGUUUAUGGGAACAGCUUUGAGUCGUUUCUUGUUGCUGUGGUAGUCCCUGACAGAAAGGCAUUGGAGGAUUGGGCAGCAAAGCAUCAUUUGACCGAUGAUUUUAAAUCAUUAUGUCAAAACCUGAAGGCAAGAAAGUACAUUUUGGAUGAGCUCAG